This 1439-nucleotide ribosomal RNA is filed under the name uncultured bacterium. RNAcentral describes it as "partial 16S ribosomal RNA". It matches the Rfam family "Bacterial small subunit ribosomal RNA". The record is from RNAcentral.
GGAUGAACGCUAGCGGCAGGCUUAACACAUGCAAGUCGAGGGGCAUCGGGAGGAAAGCUUGCUUUCCUUGCCGGCGACCGGCGCACGGGUGAGUAACACGUAUGCAACCUGCCCUCUUCAGGGGGACAACCUUCCGAAAGGGAGGCUAAUCCCGCGUAUAUCGGUUUCGGGCAUCCGAGAUCGAGGAAAGAUUCAUCGGAAGAGGAUGGGCAUGCGGCGCAUUAGCUAGACGGCGGGGUAACGGCCCACCGUGGCGACGAUGCGUAGGGGUUCUGAGAGGAAGGUCCCCCACACUGGUACUGAGACACGGACCAGACUCCUACGGGAGGCAGCAGUGAGGAAUAUUGGUCAAUGGGAGAGAUCCUGAACCAGCCAAGCCGCGUGAGGGAAGACGGCCCUAUGGGUUGUAAACCUCUUUUGUCGGAGAACAAAACCCGGGACGAGUCCCGGACUGCGUGUAUCCGAAGAAAAAGCAUCGGCUAACUCCGUGCCAGCAGCCGCGGUAAUACGGAGGAUGCGAGCGUUAUCCGGAUUUAUUGGGUUUAAAGGGUGCGUAGGCGGUCCGUUAAGUCAGCGGUAAAAUUGCGGGGCUCAACCCCGUCGAGCCGUUGAAACUGGCAGACUUGAGUUGGCGAGAAGUACGCGGAAUGCGCGGUGUAGCGGUGAAAUGCAUAGAUAUCGCGCAGAACUCCGAUUGCGAAGGCAGCGUACCGGCGCCAGACUGACGCUGAGGCACGAAAGCGUGGGGAUCGAACAGGAUUAGAUACCCUGGUAGUCCACGCAGUAAACGAUGAAUGCUGGUUGUCCGGGUCGAAUGAGAUCUGGGCGGCGAAGCGAAAGCGAUAAGCAUUCCACCUGGGGAGUACGCCGGCAACGGUGAAACUCAAAGGAAUUGACGGGGGCCCGCACAAGCGGAGGAACAUGUGGUUUAAUUCGAUGAUACGCGGGGAACCUUACCCGGGCUCAAACGGGAGCGGAAUGGACCAGAGACGGUUCAGCCUACGGGCCGCUUCCGAGGUGCUGCAUGGUUGUCGUCAGCUCGUGCCGUGAGGUGUCGGCUUAAGUGCCAUAACGAGCGCAACCCCCGCCGGCAGUUGCUAACGGGCAAUGCCGAGGACUCUGCCGGGACUGCCGCCGCAAGGCGUGAGGAAGGCGGGGAUGACGUCAAAUCAGCACGGCCCUUACGUCCGGGGCGACACACGUGUUACAAUGGGCGGUACAGCGGGAAGCCAGGCGGCGACGCCGAGCGGAACCCGAAAGCCGUUCUCAGUUCGGAUCGGAGUCUGCAACCCGACUCCGUGAAGCUGGAUUCGCUAGUAAUCGCGCAUCAGCCAUGGCGCGGUGAAUACGUUCCCGGGCCUUGUACACACCGCCCGUCAAGCCAUGGGAGCCGGGGGUGCUUGAAGUGCGUCGCCGCGAGGCGCGCCCUAGAGCAAAAC